CAGCAGCCGCGGUAAUACGAAGGGGGCUAGCGUUGUUCGGAAUCACUGGGCGUAAAGGGUGCGUAGGCGGGCAUUUAAGUCAGGGGUGAAAUCCCGAGGCUCAACCUCGGAACUGCCCUUGAUACUGAAUGUCUUGAGUCCGGAAGAGGUGAGUGGAACUGCGAGUGUAGAGGUGAAAUUCGUAGAUAUUCGCAAGAACACCGGUGGCGAAGGCGGCUCACUGGUCCGGAACUGACGCUGAGGCACGACAGCGUGGGGAGCAAACAGGAUUAGAUACCCCCGUAGUCCCUGUCUCUUAUAC
Molecule: ribosomal RNA, 301 nt
Filed under: uncultured bacterium
Lineage: Bacteria
Description: partial 16S ribosomal RNA
Rfam family: Bacterial small subunit ribosomal RNA
Source: RNAcentral